This 64-nucleotide ribosomal RNA is filed under the name uncultured organism. RNAcentral's name for it is "partial 16S ribosomal RNA". The record is from RNAcentral.
AGCUUUUGACAUGGGAAGUAUGAGGAGUAGAGAUAUUCUUCUUCAGUUCGGCUGGCUUCCACAC